CAGUCGCCGCGGGAAUACGAAGGGUGCAAGCGUUACUCGGAAUUACUGGGCGUAAAGGGCGCGUAGGCGGAUAGUUAAGUCGGGGGUGAAAGCCCGGGGCUCAACCUCGGAAUUGCCUUCGAUACUGGCUGUCUUGAGUGUGAGAGAGGUGUGUGGAACUCCGAGUGUAGAGGUGAAAUUCGUAGAUAUUCGGAAGAACACCGAUGGCGAAGGCAAUCCCCUGGACCUGUACUGACGCUCAUGCACGAAAGCGUGGGGAGCAAACAGGAUUAGAGACCCCAGUAGUCCCUGUCUCUUAUAC
This 301-nucleotide ribosomal RNA is filed under the name uncultured bacterium. Its description in RNAcentral is "partial 16S ribosomal RNA". It matches the Rfam family "Bacterial small subunit ribosomal RNA", at positions 509 to 807 of the family's 1533-position model. The record is from RNAcentral.